RNAcentral lists this transfer RNA (60 nucleotides) under Chryseobacterium defluvii. RNAcentral describes it as "tRNA-OTHER". It matches the Rfam family "tRNA". Rfam says of the family: Transfer RNA (tRNA) molecules are approximately 80 nucleotides in length. The record is from RNAcentral. Lineage: Bacteria; Pseudomonadati; Bacteroidota; Flavobacteriia; Flavobacteriales; Weeksellaceae.
GGGGAUAUAGCUAAAUGGUAUAGCAAUAGAAUGACAGCGUGGGUUCGAAUCCCACUCUCA